AUACUUACCUGACGUAGGGGUACUGUGACCAUGCAGGUGGUUCCCCCGGGGUGCGGCUGCUCCAUUGCACUUAUGCAGUGCGGAGUAGUUGAUCCUUACGGUUAUUUUUAAAUUUUAUAAGUUUCACUUCUACCGUAUGUGACUUGCACACACACACAUU
This is a small nuclear RNA of Bombyx mandarina (wild silkworm), 160 nucleotides long. Lineage: Eukaryota; Metazoa; Arthropoda; Insecta; Lepidoptera; Bombycidae. The record is from RefSeq and is a predicted model, not a curated record.